CGUUCCAUGCAGGAGUCGAACCUGCACCUCUAGCUUACGGGGCAGUUGUGUUACCAUUUACACUACCGGUAC
Molecule: non-coding RNA, 72 nt
Organism: Teladorsagia circumcincta
Lineage: Eukaryota; Metazoa; Nematoda; Chromadorea; Rhabditida; Trichostrongylidae
Source: the annotation of a GenBank genome assembly